This 67-nucleotide transfer RNA is filed under the name Eurycea cirrigera (southern two-lined salamander). RNAcentral's name for it is "tRNA-Trp". It matches the Rfam family "tRNA". From Rfam's summary of the family: Transfer RNA (tRNA) molecules are approximately 80 nucleotides in length. Their secondary structure includes four short double-helical elements and three loops (D, anti-codon, and T loops). Further hydrogen bonds mediate the characteristic L-shaped molecular structure. tRNAs have two regions of fundamental functional importance: the anti-codon, which is responsible for specific mRNA codon recognition, and the 3' end, to which the tRNAs corresponding amino acid is attached (by aminoacyl-tRNA synthetases). tRNAs cope with the degeneracy of the genetic code in two manners: having more than one tRNA (with a specific anti-codon) for a particular amino acid; and 'wobble' base-pairing, i.e. permitting non-standard base-pairing at the 3rd anti-codon position. Lineage: Eukaryota; Metazoa; Chordata; Amphibia; Caudata; Plethodontidae. The record is from RNAcentral.
AGACUUAGGAUAGCUAGACCAAAGGCCUUCAAAGCCUUAAGCAGAAGUUUAACCCUUCUAGUCUUUG